GACGAACGCUGGCGGCGUGCUUAACACAUGCAAGUCGAACGGAAAGGCCCUGCUUUUGUGGGGUGCUCGAGUGGCGAACGGGUGAGUAACACGUGAGUAACCUGCCCUUGACUUUGGGAUAACUUCAGGAAACUGGGGCUAAUACCGGAUAGGAGCUCCUGCUGCAUGGUGGGGGUUGGAAAGUUUCGGCGGUUGGGGAUGGACUCGCGGCUUAUCAGCUUGUUGGUGGGGUAGUGGCUUACCAAGGCUUUGACGGGUAGCCGGCUUGAGCGGGUGACCGGACACGUUGGGACCGAGAUGCGGCCAAGGCUACUACUGGAGGCAGCAGUGGGGAAUAUUGCAGCAUGGGCGGAAGGCUGAUGCAGCACCGCGGCGUGCGGGAUGACGGCCUUCGGGUUGUAAACCGCUUUCGCCUGUGCCGAAGCGUGAGUGGCGGUAAUGGGAAAAGACGCACCGGAUAACUAUG
RNAcentral lists this ribosomal RNA (466 nucleotides) under uncultured bacterium. RNAcentral describes it as "partial 16S ribosomal RNA". It matches the Rfam family "Bacterial small subunit ribosomal RNA", at positions 28 to 505 of the family's 1533-position model. The record is from RNAcentral.